UUGGAGGGCAAGUCUGGUGCCAGCAGCCGCGGUAAUUCCAGCUCCAAUAGCGUAUAUUAAAGUUGUUGCAGUUAAAAAGCUCGUAGUUGAACUUCGGGGUCUACCCAUUGGUCAGGCUUAAUUGUCUGCACUGGUGAGAUGGAUCUCUACCUUCUGAGGAACUUUCAUGCCAUUUAUUUAGUGUGAUUGGAAAUCAGGACUGUUACUUUGAAAAAAUUAGAGUGUUUAAAGCAGACUAUCGUCUGAAUACAUUAGCAUGGAAUAAUGAAAUAGGACGGACUGAUUCUAUUUCGUUGGUUUCUAGGAUCACCGUAAUGAUUAAUAGGGAUAGUUGGGGGCAUUAGUAUUCAAUUGUCAGAGGUGAAAUUCUUGGAUUUAUUGAAGACUAACUACUGCGAAAGCAUUUGCCAAGGAUGUUUUCAUUAAUCAAGAACGAAAGUUAGGGGAUCGAAGACGAUCAGAUACCGUCGUAGUCUUAACCAUAAACUAUGCCGACUAGGGAUCGGACGAAGUUAAUUUUAUAAUGACGCGUUCGGCGCCUUACGGGAAAC
This 551-nucleotide ribosomal RNA is filed under the name uncultured Glomeromycotina. RNAcentral's name for it is "SSU rRNA". It matches the Rfam family "Eukaryotic small subunit ribosomal RNA", at positions 548 to 1098 of the family's 1831-position model. The record is from RNAcentral. Lineage: Eukaryota; Fungi; Glomeromycota.